GGAGCUUGCUCCUGCUGACGAGUGGCGCACGGGUGAGUAACGCGUGGGAACCUGCCUUUUUCUGCGGGAUAACGGUUGGAAACGACCGCUAAUACCGCAUACGCCCUACGGGGGAAAGGUCCGCCGGAAAAAGAGGGGCCCGCGUCUGAUUAGCUUGUUGGUAGGGUAAUGGCCUACCAAGGCAACGAUCAGUAGCUGGUCUGAGAGGAUGAUC
Molecule: ribosomal RNA, 214 nt
Filed under: uncultured bacterium
Lineage: Bacteria
Description: partial 16S ribosomal RNA
Rfam family: Bacterial small subunit ribosomal RNA
Source: RNAcentral